CGUAGGUGGCGAGCGUUGUCCGGAAUUACUGGGUGUAAAGGGCGUGUAGGCGGGGAGAUAAGUCAGAUGUGAAAUUCCAGGGCUCAACCCUGGCGCUGCAUCUGAAACUAUUUCUCUUGAGUGCUGGAGAGGAAAGCGGAAUUCCUAGUGUAGCGGUGAAAUGCGUAGAUAUUAGGAGGAACACCAGUGGCGAAGGCGGCUUUCUGGACAGUAACUGACGCUGAGGCGCGAAAGCGUGGGGAGCAAACAGGAUUAGAUACCCUGGUAGUCCACGCUGUAAACGAUGGAUACUAGGUGUAGGAGGUAUCGACCCCUUCUGUGCCGCAGUUAACACAAUAAGUAUCCCGCCUGGGGAGUACGGCCGCAAGGUUG
RNAcentral lists this ribosomal RNA (372 nucleotides) under uncultured organism. Its description in RNAcentral is "bacterial SSU rRNA". It matches the Rfam family "Bacterial small subunit ribosomal RNA", at positions 526 to 896 of the family's 1533-position model. The record is from RNAcentral.